RNAcentral lists this ribosomal RNA (780 nucleotides) under Triticum aestivum (bread wheat). RNAcentral's name for it is "partial small subunit ribosomal RNA". The record is from RNAcentral. Lineage: Eukaryota; Viridiplantae; Streptophyta; Magnoliopsida; Poales; Poaceae.
AUGGUCUCCUUGCUCUCUCGCGCACCCUCCCUUGCCUCCCUCGGCAAACCCACCGCCCGCGCCUCCACCUCCUCGCUUCGACUGCCAGCCAUGUCUUCCUCCGCCCCCGCCCCCGCGGCCACGGCGGCGGCAGAGCCGGAGGCGUCCCGCCCAAGGAAGACGCCGGUGCUCUUAUUCGACGUCAUGGACACCGUCGUCCGCGACCCCUUCUACCACCACAUCCCCUCCUUCUUCCAAAUGUCCAUGAAGGAACUCCUAGAAAGCAAGCAUCCAACAUCAUGGUCCGAAUUUGAGAUGGGGCUGAUUAAUGAGGGCCAGCUGGCCGAAAAAUUCUUCAAUGAUGGCAGAUCUUUUGAUUUGGAAGGUCUGAAAGCAUGCAUGGUGAGAGCAUACGAGUAUGUUGAUGGUGUUGAAGAUAUUCUUUGCAGUUUGAAGCAAAACAACUACGAAGUGCAUGCUUUUACAAAUUAUCCAGUGUGGUACCAGUUGAUUGAGGAAAAGUUAAAGCUGUCGAAGUAUCUGUCAUGGACAUUCUGUUCUUGUCACGUUGGAAUACGCAAACCUUCACCAGAUUUUUACCUUCAUGCCGUGGAUCAUCUCAAUAUCGAUCCAGGAAACUGCAUUUUCAUUGAUGACAGGAUGGUAAACAUCGAAGCGGCCCUUAGUGUAGGAAUGCUCGGUUUGCAUUUUAAAAAUGCCGAGUCCCUAAAGAAUGAUUUGUGCUCACUGGGAGUUGAACUGGCACCUCUUGUGCUUGAAGAUGAAACUGAAGUUCAGUAA